RNAcentral lists this ribosomal RNA (253 nucleotides) under uncultured bacterium. Its description in RNAcentral is "partial 16S ribosomal RNA". It matches the Rfam family "Bacterial small subunit ribosomal RNA", at positions 524 to 776 of the family's 1533-position model. The record is from RNAcentral.
UACGUAGGGACCAAGCGUUGUUCGGAUUUACUGGGCGUAAAGGGCGCGUAGGCGGCGCGGUAAGUCACUUGUGAAAUCUCUGAGCUUAACUCAGAACGGCCAAGUGAUACUGCAGGGCUUGAGUACGAAAGAGGAUCGCGGAAUUCCCGGUGUAGAGGUGAAAUGCGUAGAUAUUCGGAAGAACACCAGUGGCGAAGGCGACUCACUGGACACAUAUUGACGCUGAGGUGCGAAAGCGUGGGGAGCAAACAGG